Molecule: ribosomal RNA, 497 nt
Filed under: uncultured bacterium
Lineage: Bacteria
Description: partial 16S ribosomal RNA
Rfam family: Bacterial small subunit ribosomal RNA
Source: RNAcentral
GAUGAACGCUGGCGGCGUGCCUAAUACAUGCAAGUCGAGCGAACAGACGAGGAGCUUGCUCCUUCGACGUUAGCGGCGGACGGGUGAGUAACACGUAGGUAACCUACCUAUAAGACUGGGAUAACUUCGGGAAACCGGAGCUAAUACCGGAUAAUAUUUCGAACCGCAUGGUUCGAUAGUGAAAGAUGGCUUUGCUAUCACUUAUAGAUGGACCUGCGCCGUAUUAGCUAGUUGGUAAGGUAACGGCUUACCAAGGCAACGAUACGUAGCCGACCUGAGAGGGUGAUCGGCCACACUGGAACGGAGCCACGGUCCAGACUCCUACGGGAGGCAGCAGUAGGGAAUCUUCCGCAAUGGGCGAAAGCCUGACGGAGCAACGCCGCGUGAGUGAUGAAGGUCUUCGGAUCGUAAAACUCUGUUAUGAGGGAAGAACAAACGUGUAAGUAACUGUGCACGUCUUGACGGUAACUAAUCAGAAAGCCACGGCUAACUACGUG